GAAGGUAGCAUAAUCACUUGUUCUUUAAAUGAGGACCAGUAUCAAUGGCAUCACGAGGAUCUUACUGUCUCCCCCCUCAAAUCAGUGAAACUGAUCUCCCCGUGAAGAAGCGGGGAUAUUUUUAUAAGACGAGAAGACCCCAUGGAGCUUUAAACCCGAUAACACCCGCCCACUUUAUGUCCCCACAUCCCUCGGUCCCUGUUUACUCGGUUUUAGGUUGGGGUGACCACGGAGCACAAAACAACCUCCAUGAAAGAAGGGGAAACAGCCCUCAUCAGAGAACAACACUUCCAAGAAGUAACAAAUUAAUUUCCAAUGACCCGAUAUGCGAUCAACGAACCAAGUUACCCUGGGGAUAACAGCGCAAUCUUCCUCAAGAGCUCCUAUCGACAGGUGGGUUUACGACCUCGAUGUUGGAUCAGGGCACCCCAGUGGUGCAGCAGCUACUAACGGUUCGUUUGUUCAACGAUUAAAGCCCU
RNAcentral lists this ribosomal RNA (479 nucleotides) under Boophis mandraka. RNAcentral's name for it is "partial 16S ribosomal RNA". It matches the Rfam family "Bacterial large subunit ribosomal RNA", at positions 1952 to 2597 of the family's 2925-position model. The record is from RNAcentral. Lineage: Eukaryota; Metazoa; Chordata; Amphibia; Anura; Mantellidae.